UGGUUUACAGGAACAGAUCGAUUGACAGA
Molecule: non-coding RNA, 29 nt
Filed under: Mus musculus (house mouse)
Lineage: Eukaryota; Metazoa; Chordata; Mammalia; Rodentia; Muridae
Source: RNAcentral